RNAcentral lists this long non-coding RNA (6745 nucleotides) under Sus scrofa (pig). RNAcentral describes it as "lncRNA (ENSSSCG00000054446.1)". Lineage: Eukaryota; Metazoa; Chordata; Mammalia; Artiodactyla; Suidae. The record is from RNAcentral.
GAGAAAAGACAGUCUCUUCAGUAAGUGGUGCUUGGAAAACUGGACAGCUACAUGUAAAAGCAUGAAAUUAGAACAUUCUCUUAUACCAUACACAAAAAUAAACAAAAAACAGAUUAAAGACUUAAAUGUAAGACCAGAUACCAUAAGGCUCUUAGAGGAAAACAUAGGCAGAACACUCUGAUGUAAAUUGCAGCAUUAUCUUUUGGGAUUCACCUUCUAAUGAAAAUAACAACAAAAAUAAACUCAAAAGCUUUUGAACAGCAAAGGAAACCAUAAACAAAACAAAAAGACAACUCACAGAAUGGGAGAAAAAUCUUUACAAAUGAAGUGACCAACAAGGGAUUAGUCUCCAAAAGACACAAACAUCUCACAUAGCUCUAAAUGAAAAAAAGCAACCCAAUCAAAACAGACAGAUCUAAAUAGAUUAUUUCUCCAAAGAAGACAUAUAAAUGGCCAAAAAACACAUGAAAAAAUGCUCAACAUCAUUAAUUAUUAGAGAAAUGCAAAUUGAAACUAUAAUGAGAUAUCACUUUACACCAGUCAGAACGGCUAUUACCAAAAUGGCUACAAGCAACAAAUGCUGGAGAGGGUGUGGAAGAAAAGGGAAUCCCCCUUUUCUGUUGGCAGAAAUGUAAAUUGGUGCAGCCAUGAUGGAGAACAGUAUGGAAAUUCCUUAAACUAAAUAUAGAAUUGAGCAAUCCCACUCCUGGACAUAUAUCUGGAGAAAACCAUAAUUCCAAAAGAAACAUGCACCCCAGUGUUCAUUGCGCUAUUUACAGUAGUCAAGACAUGGAAAAAACCUAAAUGUCCAUUGACAGAGGAGCAAAUAAAGGAGAUGUGGUACAUAUAUAUGAUGGAGUAUUACUUGGUCAUUGAAAAGCAUGUGAUAAUGCCAUAUGGAGGGACCUAGAGAUCAUACUAAAUGAAGUCAGGCAGAAAAGGGAAAAAUAUCAUAUGAGAUCACGAACAUGUGGAAUCUAACAAUACGGAAGAAUUUGUUAAUAUAGCAAAAUCAGACUCAAAGAUUUCGAAACCAAGCUUAUAGUUACCAAAGUGGGUAGGGACAAAAUGAGAGGUUGGAACUGACAUACACACACUAUAAUAUAUGGAAUGGUAAUAAGAACCUACUGUGUAACACAGGGAAAUCUGCUCAAUAUUCUGUAGUGACCUAUGUGGAAAAAAGAAUCUGAAAAGGAAUGGAUACAUUAUAACUGAUUCAUGUUGCUGUACACCUGAAACUAACAUUGUAAAUAAACUAUACUCCAAUAUGGUUUAAUACAAAAUUUUAAAAUUCCUAAAUGCACCAAAAGCAUUCCAAUAAGUGAAAACUACCAAGAGUCACCACAAGCACAAUCAAUUAGCUUUCUAAAACAACCCUCAGUCACAAGUAUUAUUAUUCACAUUUCACAGAUGUGUCAUAGAUAUUUUUCAUUUCAGCAUGUUUUUAUUUUUUAACCAUGAAAUUUAAAUAAAUGAUUAGGAUGGCAUUUUCUAAUGGAAUCAACUAUCAAUUAUUCAUUCUGGUGGCUUGUAAAUUUCUACUUUCCCUGGAAGGGUUUUCCCACUUUCUGCAAUUAUACAAAAUAGCUUCUACUUUUGUGACUUUGUUAAAAUUUUUCUCUUUUUACAAUAUUUUAGUUAAUGGGAGAGAAAUCCUUUGAUGACAUUAACAUUUAUUGAGUGCCUACUAUAUGCAACUGUAAACAAAGAUAUUCACGUGUUUGUUUCAGAGUAAAAAUAAAGUCCACUGAAGGAUAAAAAUAGCAAAUUAUAGCCAGACCCUGUGCACAUGAAACAGAUAUGACAAAAGUAGGAAAAUAUAUGAAAAAUUUAAAAGUGGCAAAUGAUAUAUCAAAUUAUGUGGCUUUGAAUAAAAAUUGAACUAUCAAUCACAAAGGCUUCUGUGUCAACACAUCAAGUUAGAAUCCAAAUCUUUUAACAAUAAAAAAUUAAUAAUAACCUGUGGUAAUAUCAGGAAUGUACUUUUAAAAAACGGCAGACAGCAAAGUUAUUGCAAAGAAGCCACAGUAGGCAGAACAAGGAUGCAAUCUGUACUCUAUUAGGUGCUUGGUCUCAGGGAAAUACCUUCAUCUAUAUGAGUCUGGGAUCCAUUGUCUGCAAAAUGGAAAUGACAAUAACACUCACCUUGGAGCAUUGUUUUAGAAUGUGCCCUUGAAAACUAUAAAGAGGACGCACAUUGUGAGUAAAAAUUAGAGUAAUUUAAUUUACACUGACUGAGCAGAACUUUCCACUGCAUCCCAAGGAGGUUAUGUGAGAACCAUGAAGAUGAACCAGGCAAACAAACUCAAAAGGUUCAGCUAACAUCUGGCACCCAGCACUGCAGAGAUUUCCUUGUUCCAAUGGCAUGACUGUAACAUAAUUAAAUUCCCAUCUCCUCCUUAACAAGGCCAUUGAAACUUGCCCUCCCCCACAUUUAUUAUUACAGAUAUAAAAGAACAGUCCUUUAGGAAUGACACAAAAUCUGGCUUGUUUUUUAUUUUUUACAUUUAGGAAAGGUCUAUUUUUAUUCCUUCCCUUGAAGAUGCAGGUUUAGGGAGGGGGCCUGACUGGUGACACAAAUCUAGACAUGACUGCCAUUGUGACCAGUGAACAGGUGAUCUUCACUGGAUUGGGGAAAAUCAAGGAUGACUCUGGCAGAUCAACUCAAGUCCUUGGGUGGAAGGGAAGGACAAAUACUUGCUGAAAGCCCCCAAUUCUCUCAAAUACACGCACACACCUCCCUUUCCAAGAAAAUCAUUAAAAAAGAAUGACUUUAGAACUCAAUUCUGUGAUGCGGGAUGGGAGCACUACAGCUGAUUUACAUGCUGAGGGUGUGCCAUCUGUUUUGUCACAUCACUAACUGUAGCUUUAUAAUUUUGUAGCAGAAUUGUCACAGGGAAAAAUUGGAUUUUUAAGAAAGUAAUAACUAGAGACCAAUGUCAUUUAAAAUGGCACAGGAGGAGACCCCAUCUCAGCAGAUGGAGGGCUUCCUCUGAGCAAGCAUCUGGGACUCAGUGUUUGAAUCCAUCAUUGUCAGGAGAUGAAGGCUUACCAGUUUUAUUUCCAAUAGAUUUUCAUUGGCAAUGAGGUUGUGUGACCCUAGCAGCUACUAAGUGAAGUAUCCUCUGCCUCCUGGAAUAAUCACAACAGGGGUUUUAGUUUUUUUACGGGAAAAAAGUCUCUUGAAGGUUAAAGCUGGUUGAAGUGUAACUCUUCCUGAAAGUCUCAACACUUCUCUGUGCAUUUAAAAAUUAAGAUUUGAUUAUUAAAUUAUAAUUUCCAUAAUUUUUAAAUAACAUGAAGAUACAAACUUCAAACUUAAGUUCCGUGUCUAAUUUUACAAUGCACUUUGAUGAAGGCUUCUUGUGAAUACACUUCUGUGUUAAGAAUGAAUAUAUAUAUAUUUGAAAAGAAGUGUCAAGUUUAAGGCAAAUCUAUAGACACUGAAGCCAGGAGAUUAUUUCUAAAAAUUAUGUAUCACCUAUGAUUAGAAAAUAUGUGGACUCAAUCUAUGUGUGUCUUAGCAUCAGCUGACCAAGUGGAUGACCAACUAGUUCUUAAGCUUCUUUCCUGUUUAUGCAUAAAAAUGGAUGACAGUCAAAUCUAUUCCAUAGGAUUGUGUGGUUAAUUGGGCUUGUGUACAUUAAGCUCUCAGCUUUACAUCAACUUGACAUUUAACAAAAAUAUUGACAAACAUCAGCUGCUAUCAUUAUUAACUCACCCUAUUUCUUCAGAAGGACCAACUAUCCUGGGCAAAGAACUUAUUUUCUGAAUACAAUCUUCCCAUCUCCACAAAGUUCACGUGCUUUCUCCUAGAGCUAUAGAAUCAAGUUUAGAAGCUCUGUUAUAACAUGUGAGCAUCCAGAAUUCCACCAAGACCUCCCCUCCCAAAUCCUAGAACCCACUUCCCUGGAGUGUGGAGUUGGAUCCAGCUCCUCAUCAAUAAAAUGUGCAGUGAUGCUGGACAUGAUUCCCAAGAUGAUGCCAUGGUACAUGGCAAAGGGUAAGGGCUUUUGCACGUGUGAUAGAGGUCCCUCAUUUUGGCUUCAGAUUAUCCAAGCAAUCAUUCUGGGCAGCCUGACCACUCCCUCUCCUGAGCAUUUAAAAAGUGGUUUUGAUCACACAAAACACAAACAAAGGUGCUGUCCUGGCAGCUUUUAGGAACCAUACUGCCUUGUCUUGGGGAGGCCCAUGAGGCAUGGAGGCACAGGCAGCUGUUAAAUAGAUGAGGACUUUGGUUCCACCAAAGGACACACAAAGAACUGAAAAUCUGCCAACAGUAGCAGAGUUUUGAUGAGGACUGAGAGCUUCAGGUAAAAUCACAGACUUGCAGAUGCCUUGUGAAGCACUGGGUAAGGCCCAGCUAAUUCUUACCCAACUCCUGACCCACGGAAUUAUGGGUGGUAAAAAAUGUGUAUAGUUUUCAGCUUCCAAGUUCAUGGCCAAUGUAACCAGAGACAGAAAAAUAUAGAACACUUCUUUAAAUCAAGCCUAGGUCCCUGACUCAUUUUGGACUCAUUUUCUUUUCCAUUACAAGUAGUCAUGAAAUGCACUUGGGUCCUGAUAUUUGCAUAUCAGCUUCAGAGAACAUAGAACAGCUGAUUGUUGAGAUGGACUUAUUCUCCUGUGUUUCAUGCACUGCUUUCUUUUUUUCUUUAUGUCUUUUUGCCAUUUCUUGAGCUGCUCCCAUGGCAUAUGGAGGUUCCUAGGCUAGGGGUCUAAUCUGAGCUGUAGCUGCCAACCUACACCAGAGCCAUAGCAACGCAGGAUCCGAGCUGCUUCUGCAACCUACACCACAGCUCACGGCAAUGCUGGAUCAUUAACCCACUGAGCAAGGGCAGGGAUUGAACCUGCAACCUCAUGGUUCCUAGUUGGAUUCGUUAACCACUAUGCCACGACGGGAACUCCUGCUUUCAUUUUUUAAUGUCAUUUUUUUAAAUCCACCCUUCUUGAAUAAAAGUAUGUUUCCUUAUGUUUGAAACAACUGAAGAUAAUUUUUCCACUGUCUUCAUGGAUCUUCGAAGGAACAACUUUCCCUACUGUAUUAUUGCCUUUUCUCCAUUUGUUUUUAACCAUGCAGUGAUCUGCCCCCACAACCCACCCUCUCCCUAGAUACACACAUUUACUUAAUGAAUCAUCCUGAAUUUCUUUUCGCUGUGAUUACUGUUUGGGGUUGAUAACACCAUGGACAUUUUUUUCUACUGGCAAAAAACAAUGUCAAUAAAAUUCAGAAUGUUUCAGAUUGAGACCACCUAGCUCCCAACAUCUGCUCCCAGGAAGGGAGCUCACUCAGCCCUGCCCCCCUCUGCAGAGCACUCCCCUCCAGCAAAUCAAGAGAACAAAAUAAAACCAACUCUUAUGCAGCACAGUACCUAAUAGGCUCAUACUUUUUCUAUGUUCUUUAGAUAGAACUGAUUUUUUUUAAGCACUUAGGAUUUAUUUUAAUUUCUAACAAGUACUCUGAGUUUCUUUAAUUAAGUGAUCUGAAAUUACAUAACUCAUUUUAUAGCAAAAUCCAGAGCUGUUACUUUCUUAUUCAGUACCACUUUCAUUUAUACUUGUGUACUAUUCCUUGUAGCUAUACAUUUUGAAUGGUUUUGCAAUGCUCAACUUCAUCAUUAUUAAAUGCAAACAAUAGAUGGAUUUUAAAGCAGGUAUUUUGAUUUUAGUUCAUAUUAUGCUGCUUGAAAAUUCUGUAUGACUUGAUAUCUGAAAAUAAAAUAAAAUAAAAUAAAAUAAUCUUAGGUGCUCCUGAGCUGUGUAUGUAUAACUGUAGUUAUCAAAUAUUCAGCAGAGCAAUUAGUAAUUUUACCAAAAAGUGGCACUUAUUAAAAAAUAAAAUGCUUAAAAAGCAUGUAUUAUCUUUGGAAGGGUGCAGAAGCAUUAAAGAGUGACAUAGACACACCUACUGUUGCAAAAAUAGGCUUGUUUGUAUGCCAUGAGGUUCUAACUACAGGAAAAAGUUCCAGUUUGAAGACAGAUAUUAAGAAUCAAAGUGGAAGGAUGCAAGAGUAUCAAAAUAUUUCAUAUUCAAUCAAUAGUUUAACUGAAUUAGAUUUUAAGAGAAAAUGGAGAAAGUUCUAUUGGGGAAUUCUUUCAGCUGUUCAGUCUGUUGUAAAUGGCAUUCUCUUCUAGACACUUGGGCAGGGGAUGGGGGGGCAGGAAGAGGCAAGUACCUUAAGCUCUCAGACACCUUUAUGUAACAAGCAGUGUAAUCAAAGUUAGAAAGUAUAAAAUCAUCAAGUAAUACACUUUGAGUUCACGUCUAAUUUUUUAAGACAAAAUUUUGCUAUGUAAUUCUAAAAACAAUCAAAAUCAAAACAAAAAAUCUGAAACUAUGCCCCCAGUUAUAUAUGCCUGGUUAUAAUUUCUUGCAUAUCUCUGUAUCCUUCCAGAAAAAGUGAAAAUAUUUUGAGAUACAGCUAAGGCAUCAUCAUUUAACAACAUAGUUUUAUUGACAGUUUUGCCUUUGCUCACUGAGAUUUUCAACCUCCUUCCACUGCAGUUCCUACUCUAAAUUUGUCAGCAAGAUCUCAGGUUUUAUGAUACAUGAUCUGAACAGAAGAGGAAAGAGGAACAGGGAAAGAAGGAGCCAGGAGGGAGAGAAUGAGACCUAGACAGAGAAGUAUUAGGAUGGGGAGAGUUUUAAGGAUAAAACAGGGCUCCAGAAAGGGGGAAAGCAGAUGUCAAGAAGGGGUUUCAUCAUACAAAGUGAGGGGAAUGGAUGAAGGUAUUCCAUGCAAAU